Molecule: long non-coding RNA, 1431 nt
Filed under: Pan paniscus (pygmy chimpanzee)
Lineage: Eukaryota; Metazoa; Chordata; Mammalia; Primates; Hominidae
Description: lncRNA (ENSPPAG00000044498.1)
Source: RNAcentral
AUAUUAAUUAUUCAAAACUUCUUCAACCUUUCCGUAGAUGAAGGUUAAACUAGUCUUUAGAUUUUUUGAAGAUAUUAGUGAUUCGCUUCGGCUACCAAACACUUUAAUUUCAAUCAGCACAUCAUUAGGACGCCAAUGAAGCAGCACUGAUCCUGAGUCAGGAAAGAACUCCCGGCAUUCACAAAAACCAUUCAAAGCAGCCUCCUCUGCUCAUCUCUCCCGCUGCCCCCAUCAGAAAAUCCAUAACCACAACCUUUCCCAGCCUUUAAGCUGCCUCUGGAGAGUCAGGGAAGCCAACGGCAUCAUUGUUCACGCGGCAACUGUGCUGCACCUCGUUGUGCAGAAGCUUGGUGGGCGUCCGUGACUUCAGGAGCCCGUGAGAAGGGGAAGCCGUCGGUAUUGUGCCUCAUGCCAAAGAACCGGACUACCCACCAGGGACAGUUACUUGUCUUUUACAAUACCCAGGAAGUGCCCUUCAUCACAGACGCUGAAGUUUGACUGUGGCCUUAUGCGGUACAUUGUGCUGACAUAUUUUCUCAUGGGAACUGUUGGGCUAGUUCAGGCAAGUAUCUGCAAUGCUUAAACAGACAGUUUCAGGCUGGAGAAUUUAAGAGACAACCAAAUAGAGUUUUAAUGCCCUGUAAGAUAAUAACGAAAGACAUUUAUGAAAAAAAAUUCCAGUUAGUUUGAAAGCCAGGGCCCGCACUCCAUAUUUUGACAGCAGAUGGAUGGCUAGCUUGACUGAUCCUGGUUUACUUUCUGACUUGAAUUUGUCCCCUAGUCCAGUGAAAUCAUAAGGGCUCCCUUCAAUCUGGUUAAUGUUCAGAACCAAUGUUUGAGUUUUAGACUAAUUAAGGGGCAACCACUGACAUUUUUUCUAUAAUGUGAAGACUGGUGCCAGCAGUAACUCAGUGAGAUUUAACAUAAAAGCCAGAUAAAACAAUUAAAGUGGAAGAAUAUUUGAUUAAGUGGAUCACUGAUUUAUAGUGAGGUAAAUUGAAAUUGAAAGGAGAGUGAACUUUUUAUGGCAAUCAUAUAUUACGUUCAUUAUCAGAGACUCUGGAUCCUUUGUGCUUUUGUGAUUUAAAAAGAAAUAAACCAGUUUAAGGAGAGUCAUCCUGGCAGGCAUCGUUUGUGUCUUGUCUUGAGUUAUGGUUUCUUUUCAUUGCAAAGGUUAAAUAAAUCAUAUUCAAGAAAACUCAUUGCAAAACACGCAAUCAACAUUUGAAUAGACAAAAAAGUGUAAUAGGGACACGCAUGGCAAAAUACACACCGGCACUUUUGUUUUGGUGAGCUUGACAUACACUUCAAUCAGCAUUUAUUUGGUAUUUGCAGAAACUGUAGCUGUGGCAACAUCCCUUAAGGGGUCUUGGGUCUGUUGUCUAGAAGAGCCAUAGAUUUGGUAUCAGACCUGGGGAAAUUGUGAAACAG